GAUGAAGAACGUAGCAAAAUGCGAUACUUGGUGUGAAUUGCAGAAUCCCGUGAACCAUCGAGUUUUUGAACGCAAGUUGCGCCCGAAGCCUUUUGGCCGAGGGCACGCCUGCCUGGGCGUCACACGUCGUUGCCCCCCCAUCUACUCCUUCGGGAUUGCGGGGGGCGGAUGAUGGCCUCCCGUGCGCCUCGUCGCGCGGUUGGCAUAAAUGCCAAGUCCUCGGCGACGCACGCCACGACAAUCGGUGGUUGCGAAACCUCGGUUGCCCGUCGUGUGCGGUCGUCGCGCAUCGAGGGCUCGAAAAAAUUGCCGGGCUCCGGCUCGGCUUUCAACGCGACCCCAGGUCAGGCGGGGUUACCCGCUGAAUUUAAGCAUAUCAAUAAGCGGAGGA
This 391-nucleotide unclassified non-coding RNA is filed under the name soil metagenome. Its description in RNAcentral is "partial contains 5.8S ribosomal RNA, internal transcribed spacer 2, and large subunit ribosomal RNA". The stretch from base 1 to 122 matches the Rfam family "5.8S ribosomal RNA", at positions 35 to 154 of the family's 154-position model. The record is from RNAcentral.